RNAcentral lists this ribosomal RNA (232 nucleotides) under uncultured bacterium. Its description in RNAcentral is "partial 16S ribosomal RNA". It matches the Rfam family "Bacterial small subunit ribosomal RNA", at positions 99 to 334 of the family's 1533-position model. The record is from RNAcentral.
CGGACGGGUGAGUAAUGUAUGGGGAUCUGCCUGAUGGGGGGGGAUAACUACUGGAAACGGUAGCUAAUACCGCAUAAUGUCUACGGACCAAAGCGGGGGACCUCCGGGCCUCGCGCCAUCAGAUGAACCCGUAUGGGAUUAGCUAGUAGGUAAGGUAACGGCUUACCUAGGCGACGAUCCCUAGCUGGUCUGAGAGGAUGAUCAGCCACACUGGGACUGAGACACGGCCCAG